RNAcentral lists this transfer RNA (70 nucleotides) under Eurynassa australis. RNAcentral's name for it is "tRNA-Val". The record is from RNAcentral. Lineage: Eukaryota; Metazoa; Arthropoda; Insecta; Coleoptera; Cerambycidae.
CGGGCCAGAGCUUGGAAUAAAGCGUUUUAUUUACAUUAAAAAGUUAAUUGUGAAAUUCAAUUUGGCUUGA